This 245-nucleotide ribosomal RNA is filed under the name uncultured bacterium. RNAcentral's name for it is "partial 16S ribosomal RNA". It matches the Rfam family "Bacterial small subunit ribosomal RNA", at positions 528 to 772 of the family's 1533-position model. The record is from RNAcentral.
UAGGUGGCAAGCGUUGUCCGGAUUUACUGGGUGUAAAGGGCGUGUAGGCGGAACUGCAAGUCAGAUGUGAAAUUCCGGGGCUCAACCCCGGAACUGCAUUUGAAACUGUAGUCCUUGAGUAUCGGAGAGGCAGGCGGAAUUCCUAGUGUAGCGGUGAAAUGCGUAGAUAUUAGGAGGAACACCAGUGGCGAAGGCGGCCUGCUGGACGACAACUGACGCUGAGGCGCGAAAGCGUGGGGAGCAAA